CUUCUUCCACUGAUGCGUGGGCGUCAUCAGUAGUGAGUAGUCCAAGAUGGCGGACGUGAAGCUGCACUAUUCCUAAAACCACAUUUAGUUCGUCAAGUUAACUUUAUGAAUAGGGUGCGUCACUAAAGUGUACUUUCUUACACUGGACCAUCAUCCACUUUGAAAUGAAAGGGAAAGAACGAUCGCCGCUGAAAAAACGCUCACGGAUAAUCGAUGAUCUCCGAGAUCGCGGAGGCCACCUCACCAAGAAGCUAGGUCCACUGUCGGGCACCAGCAGCGGCAGCAACAACGGGAAUAGUUCGGUUAACAGUCACAUUUCUGCAAGAAGAAGUUUGCCGAGCGAAAAGAGGGACAUGAGGGACGCGGAAGGACACCACACGGGCCGGACUGGGGCCAACCAUGACUAUGGAAGUAACAACGCCAGCUCCAGCAACAAAGUGCACGGUAGCAUUGACCUCGCUACCGAGGCCAGCUCCGCUCCCAGGACCAAUGCACGCGGCGACGCGCGGACCCCCAGCUCCGAGAGUGAGUACAAGACGCUUAAAAUCAGUGAGCUGGGGUCGCAGUUGAACGACGAAGAAAUUGAAGACGGACUAUUUCAUGAAUUCAAAAAAUUCGGAGAUGUAAGUGUCAAAAUAAGUCGAGUUGGCGACCAGAGGGUGGCGUUUGUGAAUUUCAGAAGGCCCGACGACGCCAAGGCGGCCAAACACGCACGCGGCAAGUUGGUGCUCUACGACCGACCACUGAAAAUUGAGCCCGUGUUCAUGAAUCGUCGUAGAAGCCGUUCUCCCGUGUCGAGUUAUCCUCCCGGGCACCGUAAUGUACAUGCCCAAAGAGCCAUGUCACCCACUGGUUUAGGCUACAGAGACUACCGACUACAGCAGCUAGCGCUGGGCCAUCUCCCCCCGCCUCAUGUGCCACCACCACCCAUCCACCUAAGGGACCUAGAAAGAGACAGAGAGUUUUCUAUUUUCGAAAACCGGAACCGGCCUUCCUUUAUCCCCGAGUGUGCCCCUUUCAGAGAGGAGGAUCUCAUGUCCCCUGAAGACGACCAGAGAGCAAACCGGACGUUGUUCUUAGGAAACCUUGACAUUACUGUGACUGAUCAGGAUCUGCGCAGGGCGUUUGACAGGUUCGGUGUCAUUACCGAAGUGGACAUAAAGCGGGCAGUGCGCGGACAGAACAGCACUUAUGGCUUUUUAAAGUUUGAAAAUCUUGACAUGGCCCACCGGGCCAAAGUGGCCAUGUCGGGGAAAGUGGUGGGUCGCAACCCUAUUAAAGUGGGCUACGGUAAAGCCACGCCUACGACCAGGCUUUGGGUUGGGGGGCUCGGGCCCUGGGUUCCGGUGGCGGCUCUUGCCCGUGAGUUUGACCGCUUCGGUACCAUCAGGACUAUAGACUACAGAAAGGGAGACCCCUGGGCCUACAUCCAGUACGAGAGCCUCGACGCUGCCCAGGCCGCCUGCACCCACAUGCGUGGCUUCCCCCUGGGUGGCCCAGACCGGAGACUGAGGGUGGACUUUGCAGAGACGGAGCAGCGGUACCUGCAGCAGUACAUGCAGCACCUCCCCCUGCCCCCCUACGACCUGGUCCCGGAGGCCUUCGACCACCGCCCGCCCCCGGAGUCCCUGAGGGUCCGUGAGAGGUCUCCGCCCGGCCCCCUGCGCUUCAGAGAGAGGGACCUCUACCCCGGCAACGACUGGCCCGGCCUCGACGUCCACGACCGGGCCCGUGGUCCGGGCUUCGAGCCCAUCGACCACCUGGAGAGACGCGCCCGGGAGACGUGGUCCCUGGAGCGAGAGCUGCGAGACCGCAAGCGGAGACCCCUGGACGACGGCCGGCGCCCCGACCGCUCGCCGAACGGCGGGGACUUUGUUCGCCGUCGCCGCGGGAACUCGCUGGAGCGCAGCCCCGGCGGAAUGGGCCGCUACGGGGACCCGGAGCGGGGCCCCCACCCAGGCAGACUCUCUCCUGGCAGGGAGCACCAGAGCCUGGACCCGACCGGGCCCUCAGAGAAGAGGAGGAGGACGCUCAGCCCCCCCACGGCCCCGGGCACCAGCUCGGACAGAGACCGCAAGCGCAAGGCCGGGGACCCGUGUCGGAGCCCCAUGCGUAGGGGGGACCCCUCCCACCCGCCUUUCCUCUCCAACAACUCGUCCUCCAAGGCGGCGCCGCCCUCAAAGCAAGGGGCGGGGUCCCAGAAGCUGUCCCAGGCCUGGCAGGGCGUGCUCCUGCUGAAGAACAGCAGCUUCCCCACCACCGUGCACCUGCUCCAGGGGGACAUGGCGGUGCCGGCCUCCCUGCUGGUGGAAGGCACCAAAGGCGGCCCGGUGUCCCAGCUGAAGAUCAGCCAGCGCCUGCGCCUGGACCAGCCCAAGUUGGACGAGGUGAGCCGCCGCAUCAAGGCCUCGGGUCCCGCCGGCCACGCCGUCCUGCUCGCCGUCCCGGGGAAGACGGAGGACGGGCGCCAGGACAGCAGCAACAGCUCCACGGAGAGGCCGCUGAAGAACCUGGUGUCCUACCUGAAGCAGAAGGAGGCGGCGGGGGUCAUCAGCCUCCCCGUGGGGGGCAACCGAGACAAGGAGCGCACGGGGGUCCUCCACGCGUUCCCACCGUGCCCGUUCUCGGAGCAGUUCCUGGACGCGUCCUCCAAGGCCUUCGCCCGCUCAGAGGAGGAGUACCUGCUGAUGAUCGUUAUCAGAGGAGCCUCCUGAGUGUGCUCGUCCCCCCCCCCCCCCCCCAAGAAUGGUUGUCUUUUAACAACUGAGCACUGCUAUUUUUUUUUAUUCUAUGAGUUGCAUAACUAGGCGGGUGGAACAGUCCAUCCUUCCAGGUGGAAUACAUAGAUGUGAUUUAGCGUUUGAGUGUCGGACUGCUUAAGAGAAAAAAUGUCGAGGCUUUGAUUUUUAAUUAACUUCCAGGGCGGCCUGUACUCCAUUCAGCCGAAGCAAAGUUUGUAGUCGGCCAAUAUUUCACGAUGCAUUGUAUUUAGCUGAAGGAUUUGAUUAGUAUGAAUUAACGCCCCCUCCCCCGCCCCCAUUAAUUUCCACCCCAAAAAAAGCUAACUACAUUGAGAACAAGGCUUUUUGUUGUAUCAAUCUUUGUUGCCGCAGUAGAGUUUAAGUUCAUUCCUUAAGACUUUCAUUAUGUUGACCAACUGUACAAAAGAAAAUUUAUAAAAAUCUAUUUGACAACUCAAAAAGUAUAACUCAAUGUGUUAUGGUUUGCGAGAACAUUUAAAGUACUAUGAAGAUUUCUGUGAAGCCAUUGCAGUCAAUGUUUUUUUUUUUCUAUUCAGAUUUCAUGCAAAAAUAAGAUGCUAAAGGAACCCAACUCAUUAUUUGACAUCUCUACCUUUACUCGGUCAAACUCACACAAUCUGAGAAGCAACUUUUAAGCAUAAUUUAAUUGUUAAAUAUACAAAUAUUAGGCCUAAUUAAUUACUAUUGGGCUUUCACAAGGUUCCCUGAUUGUUUGUCAUUCCAUAUUAUGUUGACUUACAUUGUAAGAAGUGUUUAUUGAAUAAGUCAUGGGUGAAGUGUGUUAUUGGCUAAACUUCUUUGGGGAUAAAGAUUUCAUCAGUCCGAUAAUGGUUUUGUAAAUACUGUGACCAUCUAGAUGUGGUAGGCUUCAUGAGCUGGUAUGGAAACCACACUUUAACUAGCAAAUUGGUUAAAUUCAAAUAGGGUUUCCCUACAGUCCUACCAUACCAUUUGGCGUCUAAUCAUAGUAAUCUUUCAUUGGACAACUAAUCAAACAUUUCUAAUCUUCAUUUACUAAAGUUAAACAAUACUGAUCAUUCAAGGGCAUUCAUUUAUUGUCCGCAACUAUUAAGAAAUAUGAUCUUUGGUCAAAUUGUUGUUAGUGCUGGUUGGAAUUUUUGCAAUUGAAAUCUUAACAAGUGACUCAUCAGUUGGUCAACCUACCGGUCAGAUAAUUGAUUUUAAGAGUUGACGUACACUGGCAUGCUUAUUUUAUUCAGUAUAAUUUUUUCAUUACAAUUUUAUCCAAAGUUGACUGGGCCGACUGUUAAAACAGAACCAAUAUGGUUUGUUUCACCAAGGUUCAUUCUACACCUAAGAAAAAAGCUGCAGUGUUGUAUUUGAUUUGUCCAUCCUUCAAACAUGUACAGUCUUCGAUGUGUUUCUAUGCCAUGGACUUCCCCUUUCACUACUGUCAAUCAUGCAAUGACAAAAAAAAAAAAGAACUUCCACUCCCAGAAUGCAUCUCUGCAAAGAGGGCCAUUUGCAGUCUGAGUUGCCUUCCCUGAAACGGACUCUAUUUGUUUUAAUGCUUUGCUUCCAUUUUUUCAAAUGGAGAAUUUAGCAAUGUGCUGUUUACUCAGGAUUGCAACGAAAAAUACCGGAGGCCACGACUGCUCAUGAAUCGCAAGAUGAAUUGCCUCUGUCAGACAGCCCAUAGAUUUUGUUUCAGUUUUAAUAAAUGUUCUCUUUCCUGGGAAACGCGUCUAA
RNA transcript from Gadus morhua (Atlantic cod), 4472 nucleotides. It is a transcript of the gene named RNA-binding protein 15 pseudogene, with no coding region annotated. The transcript has a single exon. The record is from RefSeq and is a predicted model, not a curated record. NCBI's taxonomy places the organism in Eukaryota, Metazoa, Chordata, Actinopteri, Gadiformes, Gadidae.